This 429-nucleotide ribosomal RNA is filed under the name uncultured bacterium. Its description in RNAcentral is "bacterial SSU rRNA". It matches the Rfam family "Bacterial small subunit ribosomal RNA", at positions 355 to 776 of the family's 1533-position model. The record is from RNAcentral.
UGGGGAAUAUUGCACAAUGGGCGCAAGCCUGAUGCAGCGACGCCGCGUGAAGGAUGAAGGUCUUCGGAUUGUAAACUUCUGUUGAGUGGGAAAAAAGAACGGAGUCGAAUAGGCUUCGGAGAUGAUGGUACCACUAAAGAAAGCACCGGCAAACUUCGUGCCAGCAGCCGCGGUAAUACGAAGGGUGCAAGCGUUAUUCGGAGCUACUGGGCGUAAAGAGCGUGUAGGCGGUGAACUAAGUCAGUUGUUAAAGCCCCCGGCUUAACCGGGGAUGAGCGAUUGAAACUGGUUCGCUAGAAUGCAAGAGAGAGAAGUAGAAUUCUCGGAGUAGCGGUAAAAUGCGUAGAUCUCGAGAGGAAUACCGGUAGCGAAGGCGGCUUCUUGGCUUGUAAUUGACGCUAAAGCGCGAAAGCGUGGGGAGCAAACAGG